RNAcentral lists this non-coding RNA (23 nucleotides) under Mus musculus (house mouse). Lineage: Eukaryota; Metazoa; Chordata; Mammalia; Rodentia; Muridae. The record is from RNAcentral.
UUGGUCAUGAUGUUUGUGCAGGA